This is a long non-coding RNA of Perca fluviatilis (European perch), 579 nucleotides long. RefSeq lists it as uncharacterized. The transcript has 3 exons. The record is from RefSeq and is a predicted model, not a curated record. NCBI's taxonomy places the organism in Eukaryota, Metazoa, Chordata, Actinopteri, Perciformes, Percidae.
GUAUCUCAGGGUGAGGGAUACCACUAGUUUAUGCUGUGAUUUUGGCAAGGUGUCUACAAUCUCUGACAACCCCUCCCAAUCUGUCUGCCUGUCGUGUUCUGGUCCUUUGUUUGCAGGUAAUGGGAGUGGGCGGGUAGGUGGAGCUGGGAGGGUCGUCUGUACCUGGCCAUCUGGGCGUGGCUUACAGAAGGCAUAAAGGACUGCCCCCCUGUUGCUGGAGGCGUGGUCGAGGAAAGUAGGUCAAGGGGCCUGGCAGUUCUUCUCUGCACAACUACCUGCUCAGCUGCAGCUCAUUCCAUGAUUCAACCCAGCAGUAUAUAUACCCGGGCUGGUCACCUUAUUGGUGCCAGUUUGUUACAGCAAUCCAUGUGAUUCUGCUCUAGACCUGCUAACUUCCCUGCUGUUCCUGUUGAGCUUCCAGUUCACGCCAUCCAGUCUCAUCGUCACGCUGGGAUUUCCCUCUGCGUAUCUGAGUGUAGUCACCUCUACCUGCUCACCUUGUGUCCCGGACCUACUGGGGUCUCUUCUGUCGGCCCGCUUCUAGCCUUCUUCUAGCUUCCCUGCCCCAACUCUACUGUC